AGAUAGGACACGCCCCUUUGAGCUGCGUGCUACAGCGAGGCUAAGCUAGUGGGGGCAAAGUUUCAGUGCAUUCCGUUGAUGUAGACGGCGUGAAAACGGAAACAACAAGUAUGCCGGCUAACUGUGCUGCAUACAGUUACACACUACGUCGUACGAUUGAGACAAGGAAACUUGGAAUGACUUUUCAUAGGUUUCCCAGAGACUAUGGGUUGAGGAGGAAUUGGAAGUUUGUCGGCUUAGACCUGGUGUCAUUCCAUCAGUGUUAAACUUCCCGGCUCAUCUUGGAAGAGUACGUGCCAGAAAGACCACGACCAAGCAGCCUUGAGAUCUUAGGCAGCGUCUCCCUGAGGUCCCUCUCUAUCUCCCCACACAUCCACCAACCACUGGAACACAUCUCCAAAGUUCUGCCGGGCCAGCUCAGCUUCCCCUCAGAAGAAGUGCUGCCACCUGCCAGAUGAAGGAGCCUUUUGAGAGGCAGCUGGCAUCGUGAUUGGACUGUACUUUGGUCUGUUCCAAUCCAGCUUCAGCUCCAGAGACGGCAGGCGGGACGAGUCAACGGAGGCCAGGUGGACGAAGACAUGCAGCUGAGUACAAUCCAGAAAACAACAGAGGAGGAGUGCAGUGGUCCAGAGCCAGAACAACCAGAGUAGCAUCACCAAAGAACUACAGACUCUUCACAACCUGCUCAAACUCUUGGUACAGGACCUCACCACACGGGUCAAGAAGGUUUCCGUGUCAUUUCUACUCUGAAGCUCACCUUCUCCUGCUCAAACUGCUGACAAAUGUUUCUGCUGCUCUAAAGUCUGGUCUCCAGAACUUCCUAAAAACUCUCAAAGUCUCUUCUGCUGCAGGUUGCUUUGUAGAACUGUUGCAGAAAACCUCACUAAACCACAUGGAGGGGCCUCAAGAUAGUCGUCCAAAUGAAA
Long non-coding RNA from Amphiprion ocellaris (clown anemonefish), 926 nucleotides. The record is from Ensembl. Lineage: Eukaryota; Metazoa; Chordata; Actinopteri; Pomacentridae.